CAUCUCAAAUUGCUCUGAUCCAGGCUGUCCACUUCCAAAUCCUCUAGCUAAUAAGGUAGGGGAACCACCAGCCUCAGCCUGGAAUAGUACAUAGAGCACACCAGAGAAAUUUUGCCGUGUGCAGAAUACUCGAGCGGGGUGGGGUGGGCACUGCAUAACUCCAGAGGGCAAAGGAAUAGUACAUAGAGCACACCAGAGAAAUUUUGCCGUGUGCAGAAUACUCGAGCGGGGUGCGGUGGGCACUGCAUAACUCCAGAGGCCAAACAUUUCGCAUGGGAUGCGCGCCCGUAUCCUUGGCCAGUGGCUUCAGCGUUUGUCCUCGCUUACACUUUCCCCUCUCCCUCCGGCGGCGGCGGACACCUUUCCCCUCUCUCUCUCCGGCGGCGGCGGGCACCUUUCCCCUCUCUCUCUCCGGCGGCGGCGGGCACCUUUCCAUCGCAUUUACAGACCCCACUCUGCUGUGCUGUCCCGGUCACCGCGUCGACUGCACGGCCCCCUUUUGCCACCGGCGUUUGCCCGUUCCUCAAUUCCACCGACAUCAUGGAAGGAGGUCCUCGAAGCCGCAGGGCUAAGCCCACGCCCAACGGCAAAGGUGUCUCUCCGAUGAGGGAUUCCUGUCUGGAGCUGAGCGGUAAAGGUGUCUCGUCGGAGAGGGAUUCUGGUCUGGAGCUGAGCAAGUCGCCUCCGCCGCCGCCCGCUCCAUGGUGGACUGAUCCUUCGGCGCCGGUGACCGGAGACCAUAGCUGGCUGAUCCUCGACCGCAUCGUCCACCGCAGCCGGAAGCGGUGCGGGGACGCUACGACCUCGGCGCUCGCCCACGAGUGCGUCGGCCGGCCGAUCCGUGCCUCCCUCCGGAUCGCGGACCCCCCCGCGGUGUCCCGUCUCUACGUCCACUGGACCAGCAUUCCAGCCAUUGACUGCAUGAAGGAGCCUGUCGUCAUCGCCGCCCACCACAACUCCAUUCUAUUCCGGGUGUCUGUCCCCUUCGACGAUCCCUGUUUCUGGAGCCGAAUGAUCUACUUUCCUGAUGAUUACUUUGUCUACUCGUCCUCCUCGUCGCCGCCGUCCCUUACUCGGCUUCCCCCUUGCUUCACCCGGGUUCCCCUUUGCUUCGGCGGUGGACGCACCGACCCCGAGUUGGAUAAGUGGUUACAACCGCACCGGCGCCAGCAACAGCGGACCAUGAUUGAAGAAGAUAUGGGCAUCCUCUGCCAUGGAGACAAGGGUGAAUUCACGGUGGCGGAUCUCACCUACCGUUUCAACCAGGAGGUCCAACUCUGCUUGCUGCACCAUCCCCCUUCUGCCUCUGAUGCUGAAAUGAAAUGGAGUGUUGAGAAGCUGCAGAUCCCUGCCGAUAUGAAGAUCAGCCUCUACUCGUUUAAGACUGAUGCCGUCGUCACUAUUGGCGAGAGGUGCUUGUGCUGGGUUGACUACUACCAUGGUAUGCUGCUCAUUGAUGUCCUCGCUGGCAGCAACAACAACAGCAGGCUCCGUUAUAUACCACUCCCAUCUAAGGCUUUGAAGACUGGCCGUGUGUACAAGGACGGUGAACCUGAUUCCUUUCGGCGUCUCAGUGUCUGUGAUGGUGGCAUCAUUAAGCUCGUCUGCAUUAUUACCAAAGAGCACCCUUCUCCUUAUCCCUUCACCAUAGAAACAUGGACUUUGGUUGAUAUCCACCAAGGUAGAUGGGAGAAGGAUGUCAACUUGACCAUGGGAGCCAGCGAGUUCUUCAAUCUUUACAACGACACUGCCAAGAGUCGCCUCCCACGAGUGAUGCCAAGUUUUCCUGUGGUGAGCUUGGUUGAUCCAGAUGUCAUUUGCUUCCGCCUCGAGGACAAGUUCCGUGACCCUUUCUGGAUGGUUCAAGUCAACAUGCGGAAUAAGUUGCUGCUGUCAAGUUCCAUCUAUAUCAACGAAGAAGAAGAAGAAGGAUACCCUCCUAAAAGGGACUGCAGGAACUAUUUCAUUUUUCAUGACUUCAUUGCCAGCAAGUUCUCCUCUUACUUGAGUGAAGACGCCAUCAAAAGUAAUACCGAUGCAACCCAGCUCCUUGGUGGCUUGGUACAAGGCUUCAAAAUAUCUGAAGUAAGCAAAUCUGCUAGCCUCUCAAAGUGAGCUGAGACCUGCAAACCUCAAAGUGGUGAAUAGCUACAACAUCUUCAGCAUUAUAUGGAUCAUCAUUGGCAGUAAGACCGAUGCAACCCUGCUCCUUGGUGGCUUGGUACAAGGCUUCAAAAUAUCUGAAUCGAGAAUUAAGUGAGACAAUGCACAAGGUGAAAGAGGCGAGCAUGGCACAAAAGUGUGAACAAGCGACAGAGUGAUUAGUUGAACGGAUGCCAAUCUUUUGAAGACGCCCACUGCUAAUUCUCUUGCUCGUGGGGUUGAUGUUUUUUUAAUGUGUUGUGCUUUCAAACAUCUGCCUUUAUCAUGUGUGAGAAACCUUAAUCGGUACUCAAACUUUGGCAUGAGAGCAUUUUUUGAAUGUGUUGUAAUGCACCCUCCAAGGAAGAAUUUGUGAUACUCUAUGCGAAUGCAGUCUGUUGCUCAUCGGUUUUUUUUAAUAUCCAAAUUACAUUGCGAACA
Zea mays is the source of this 2583-nucleotide RNA transcript. RefSeq lists it as uncharacterized. Lineage: Eukaryota; Viridiplantae; Streptophyta; Magnoliopsida; Poales; Poaceae. The transcript has 4 exons. The record is from RefSeq and is a predicted model, not a curated record.